CUGAACUGAAAAGGAAAUCCAAGGUAAUUUGCUUUCUGACCUUUCUAUAUUUUGUUUAUUAGAGGCUUGCUGGUUUCCUUUUCACCUUGCAUUUACAAGAAUAGAUAAAUUUAACAAGUCAAUUAGAGGCUUCCUUUUCAGCUCUUAACCAGGAAGAGAAAUAGAGUUCUAUGCAAGGAUUGUUCGGUCAUUCCAGGAGAGGCUUUAA
RNAcentral lists this unclassified non-coding RNA (208 nucleotides) under Hevea brasiliensis (rubber tree). The record is from RNAcentral. Lineage: Eukaryota; Viridiplantae; Streptophyta; Magnoliopsida; Malpighiales; Euphorbiaceae.